GGACUACAGGGGUUUCUAAUCCUGUUUGCUCCCCACGCUUUCGUGCCUCAGUGUCAGUAUCAGUCCAGUAAGUCGCCUUCGCCACUGAUGUUCCUUCCGAUAUCUACGCAUUUCACCGCUACACCGGAAAUUCCACUUACCUCUACCAUACUCUAGACUCACAGUAUCGAAUGCAGUUCCUAGGUUAAGCCCAGGGAUUUCACAUCCGACUUAUGCGUCCACCUACGCACCCUUUACGCCCAGUAAUUCCGAUUAACGCUUGCACCCUCUGUAUUACCGCGGCUGCUGGCAC
RNAcentral lists this ribosomal RNA (292 nucleotides) under uncultured bacterium. RNAcentral describes it as "partial 16S ribosomal RNA". The record is from RNAcentral. RNAcentral also lists the same sequence under 1 other name.